AUGAACCUCCUGCUAGACCUUAAGCAUCUCAAGCUCAUUAGCUUGCCGACGAGGCCUGUCAUUUGCAAAUGCCUUCUACUAGUGAUUGGUCUUAUUGUAUUGAGAGCGAUUGUCUCCCCUUUUCUCGCCAUUAAUUUGUCUGAGAAGAGUUUUUAUGAGCCACCAACCCUUGACCUGUUCCCUGGAGUUAGGAAAGACAAGUUUGUUGAGGUCCCACAGAUUAUAUGGGGAUUGAACAAUCAGAAGAUCGCAUUUGCCAGGGCAUGCUUGACUGCGAAAUUCCUGAACAGGUCUCUGCUCAUGCCAAGCCUGAGUGCUUCACUUUUCUACAAAGAGGUUGACUUGCUGCAGCCUAUUCCUUUCGACAAGGUGUUUGACUUCAACAAAUUCAAUGCCCGCUGUCAUGGUUUUGCGAGGCUAGCUUGGUACUCUGAAGUUUCGAAUCAUACUGAACCCUAUAAACUCCAAAAGGGAAGUGGUAGGAGGUGGACAGUGGAGCGAGACUUGGAUCAGCUGCAAGAAUCCAAAACGGGCGAGGCCGAUAACUAUCAAGUAAUUCAUGUCACUGGGAAACAUCCGUUUCUGUGGCCUGACCAUUGGCCAGUGAAAGACUAUGCCAAGGUCUUCGAUUGCCUUGCCUUAGCUCCUGAGAUAGAAACUGAAGUAGUCAAGGUCAUAUCCAAGAUUAAAGAUGCAGGGGAAAAAGCAAGACACGAGGCUGCUAUUUCCCAUAAUAAGAAGAGGAUAGAUGAUGGUUCGUUGAAUCUGCCUGUGCAGUACAUUGCUGUUCACAUGAGAAUAGAGAAAGACUGGAUGAUCCAUUGCAAGAAGUGGGAGAAGCGGUCGAAUUUGAAGGAAAUCUGCAGCAGCAAAGGAGAGAUCAUUCAUAAGGUCUCACAGAUCACUGAUCUACGCCGGCCGGUUGUGGUUUAUCUUGCUGUAGCCGACAGCCUUUUAGAAGAUGAUUCAGUAACCAGUGGUUGGAGAGUCGGUAUGAUUGCCUAUGAGAAGAAAAAACUUGGAGUUACUGACCUAUACAAGAGGCAGCCUUAUCUUAUAAAGUCUGCCAUUGACUUUGAGGUGUGUGCGAGAGCAGAUGUGUUUGUUGGCAAUAGCUUCUCAACAUUUUCCAACCUUGUAGUUUUGUCUAGAACAGAAAGGAUGUAUAAGCUGGGGGUGGAAAGCUCAUGUGGCGAGGAUGUUGGGCUGUCGUCAUACGCGUACAAUGUCAUCGGAGAUGAUGGCGGGCCUCAAAGAUGGAUGACAGAUAUGUUGGACACAAGCCUUCAGCGCAUAAGCUACGGAACAAAUAACAUCUCCUGCCACUGA
RNAcentral lists this ribosomal RNA (1329 nucleotides) under Triticum aestivum (bread wheat). RNAcentral's name for it is "partial small subunit ribosomal RNA". The record is from RNAcentral. Lineage: Eukaryota; Viridiplantae; Streptophyta; Magnoliopsida; Poales; Poaceae.